AAUACACGACCGGCGCACGGGUGAGUAACACGUUUGCAACCUACCUCUAACUGGAGGAUAGCCCGAAGAAAUUCGGAUUAAUAUUCCAUAAAGUCAAUUUAAGGCAUCUUUUAUUGAUUAAAGCUCCGGCGGUUAGGGACGGGCAUGCGUGUCAUUAGCUAGUUGGUGAGGUAACGGCUCACCAAGGCCACGAUGACUAGGGGGUCUGAGAGGAUGACCCCCCACACUGGUACUGAGACACGGACCAGACUCCUACGGGAGGCAGCAGUGAGGAAUAUUGGGCAAUGGACGCAAGUCUGACCCAGCCAUGCCGCGUGCAGGAUGACUGCCCUAUGGGUUGUAAACUGCUUUUGUUUGGGAAGAAACCCCCGAUCGUGAUCGGGGCUGACGGUACCAUACGAAUAAGCAUCGGCUAACUCCGUGCCAGCAGCCGCGGUAAUACGGAGGAUGCAAGCGUUAUCCGGAUUCAUUGGGUUUAAGGGGUGCGCAGGCGGGAUAUUAAGUCAGUGGUGAAAUCCUGCAGCUUAACUGUAGAACUGCCAUUGAUACUGAUAUUCUUGAAUAUAGUUGAGGUAGGCGGAAUGUGUAAUGUAGCGGUGAAAUGCUUAGAUAUUACACAGAACACCAAUUGCGAAGGCAGCUCACUAAACUAAUAUUGACGCUGAGGCACGAAAGCGUGGGUAGCAAACAGGAUUAGAUACCCUGGUAGUCCACGCUGUAAACUAUGAUCACUCGCUGUUGGCAAUACAUCGUCAGCGGCUGAGCGAAAGCAUUAAGUGAUCCACCUGGGGAGUACGGUCGCAAGAUUGAAACUCAAAGGAAUUGACGGGGGCCCGCACAAGCGGAGGAACAUGUGGUUUAAUUCGAUGAUACGCGAGGAACCUUACCUGGGCUUAAAUGCAGAGCGACGUCCGCCGAAAGGUGGAUUCCUUCGGGCGAUCUGCAAGGUGCUGCAUGGUUGUCGUCAGCUCGUGCCGUGAGGUGUCGGGUUAAGUCCCAUAACGAGCGCAACCCUUAUCGUUAGUUGCCAGCGGGUAAUGCCGGGGACUCUAACGAAACUGCCGGUGUAAACCGUGAGGAAGGUGGGGAUGACGUCAAAUCAGCACGGCCCUUAUGUCCAGGGCUACACACGUGUUACAAUGGUCGGUACAGAGGGCAGCUACCACGCGAGUGGAUGCUAAUCUCGAAAACCGGUCUCAGUUCGGAUUGAAGUCUGCAACUCGACUUCAUGAAGCUGGAUUCGCUAGUAAUCGCGCAUCAGCCAUGGCGCGGUGAUACGUUCCCGGGCAUUGUACACACCGCCCGUCAAGCCAUGGAAGCUUGGG
This 1325-nucleotide ribosomal RNA is filed under the name uncultured organism. RNAcentral describes it as "bacterial SSU rRNA". It matches the Rfam family "Bacterial small subunit ribosomal RNA", at positions 86 to 1416 of the family's 1533-position model. The record is from RNAcentral.